UUGCAGAAUAAAUGCAUGACGCAUAGAGGUUUAAAAAAGACCAAUCGUUUUUAUCGCUAUAACAAUAGGUCUCGUUUUUUAUAUGUUAAUAAAUUAAUAAUGAAUCUAGUAUUUAUUUUAUAAUCAAUAUAAUAGUAAUUAUAUCCAAAUACUAUAGUUCUCUCUUUUUAAAUUAGUUUAAAAUAAAAAGAAAGGGGGAGAUAUAGAAUGUAGAUAUGGUAUUUUAAAAUUUCUUUGGGUGAGGGGAAGAUACUAUCAAGUAACAAAUCUCAAGACUCAAUCCAAUCACAGCCAUCAGACCAACACACAUUAGAAAAAGUUCAUUAAUAGCACAACACACAGGUGUAUACCAGGCCAUCUACACAGCCCCAAAACAUUGCUCUAGUUUUAUUGACAACAAUGAUGAGAGAAAAGGGGGAGGAGCCAAUUAUUGAUCGGUCAAGCCGUUAAUUAGGUCACACACUAAGCAUGCUAGUACGUUGAUGCUUUUUGUAUGUGUGUGCAACAGACACUGAGCGUGCUCUAAGAUACGUUUUUUUUUUGGUCAACCAGUGGCUUGGAGAAGGCGGAAUUUAUCUAGAAUCUAGAUGUAUAGCCUGAUGCCUACUUAUGUACAGCUUAUCCUGUUGAAGAUGAGGAAUAUUAUAUUUAUAAGUUUGAAGCUUUGGCCAAUGCAGCCACUGCCCACCACAUGUUGUUGUAUGGAUGCGAUGUUGAACCUUUAUCUACAGAGAGCAUCUGGGACUGUCCAGGCAUGUGCAAAAAUGGUUGGUCUACUAUUAUGUUUGCUUGGGCCAAAAAUGCUCCUCCAACUGUCUU
Biomphalaria glabrata is the source of this 819-nucleotide long non-coding RNA. RefSeq lists it as uncharacterized. The record is from RefSeq and is a predicted model, not a curated record. NCBI's taxonomy places the organism in Eukaryota, Metazoa, Mollusca, Gastropoda, Planorbidae. The transcript has 4 exons.